AAUGGGUCAGCGACUUAUAUUCUGUAGCAAGGUUAACCGAAUAGGGGAGCCGAAGGGAAACCGAGUCUUAACUGGGCGUUAAGUUGCAGGGUAUAGACCCGAAACCCGGUGAUCUAGCCAUGGGCAGGUUGAAGGUUGGGUAACACUAACUGGAGGACCGAACCGACUAAUGUUGAAAAAUUAGCGGAUGACUUGUGGCUGGGGGUGAAAGGCCAAUCAAACCGGGAGAUAGCUGGUUCUCCCCGAAAGCUAUUUAGGUAGCGCCUCGUGAAUUCAUCUCCGGGGGUAGAGCACUGUUUCGGCAAGGGGGUCAUCCCGACUUACCAACCCGAUGCAAACUGCGAAUACCGGAGAAUGUUAUCACGGGAGACACACGGCGGGUGCUAACGUCCGUCGUGAAGAGGGAAACAACCCAGACCGCCAGCUAAGGUCCCAAAGUCAUGGUUAAGUGGGAAACGAUGUGGGAAGGCCCAGACAGCCAGGAUGUUGGCUUAGAAGCAGCCAUCAUUUAA
Molecule: ribosomal RNA, 512 nt
Filed under: Escherichia coli
Lineage: Bacteria; Pseudomonadati; Pseudomonadota; Gammaproteobacteria; Enterobacterales; Enterobacteriaceae
Description: partial 23S ribosomal RNA
Rfam family: Bacterial large subunit ribosomal RNA
Source: RNAcentral